CAAUAGCGUAUAUUUAAGUUGCUGCAGUUAAAAAGCUCGUAGUUGGAUUUCGGGUGGGAAUGGCCGGUCCGCCGUUUCGGUGUGCACUUGCUACGCCCACCUUGCUGCCGGGGACGUGCUCUUGAGUUCACGCUCGGGACACGGAGUCGGCGAGGUUACUUUGAGUAAAUUAGAGUGUUCAAAGCAGGCCUACGCUCUGAAUACAUUAGCAUGGAAUAACACGAUAGGACUCUGGCCUAUCUAGUUGGUCUGUAGGACCGGAGUAAUGAUUAAGAGGGACAGUCGGGGGCAUUCGUAUUUCAUUGUCAGAGGUGAAAUUCUUGGAUUUAUGAAAGACGAACUACUGCGAAAGCAUUUGCCAAGGAUGUUUUCAUUAA
RNAcentral lists this ribosomal RNA (377 nucleotides) under uncultured eukaryote. Its description in RNAcentral is "partial 18S ribosomal RNA". It matches the Rfam family "Eukaryotic small subunit ribosomal RNA", at positions 592 to 976 of the family's 1831-position model. The record is from RNAcentral.